UACGUAGGGGGCGAGCGUUGUCCGGAGUUACUGGGCGUAAAGCGCACGCAGGCGGUCCGAUCAGUUCAGCGUGACAGUUGUCGGCUCAACCGAGAAAGUGUGCUGAAGACGGUCGGACUUGAGGGCUUCAGAGGGACACGGAAUUCCGGGUGGAGUGGUGAAAUGCGUAGAGAUCCGGAGGAACACCGAAGGCGUAGGCAGUGUCCUGGGGAGUACCUGACGCUCAGGUGCGAAAGCCAGGGGAGCGAACGGG
This 253-nucleotide ribosomal RNA is filed under the name uncultured bacterium. Its description in RNAcentral is "partial 16S ribosomal RNA". It matches the Rfam family "Bacterial small subunit ribosomal RNA", at positions 524 to 776 of the family's 1533-position model. The record is from RNAcentral.